RNAcentral lists this ribosomal RNA (513 nucleotides) under uncultured bacterium. RNAcentral's name for it is "partial 16S ribosomal RNA". It matches the Rfam family "Bacterial small subunit ribosomal RNA", at positions 28 to 523 of the family's 1533-position model. The record is from RNAcentral.
GAUGAACGCUGGCGGCGUGCCUAAUACAUGCAAGUCGAACGCACAGCGAAAGGUGCUUGCACCUUUCAAGUGAGUGGCGAACGGGUGAGUAACACGUGGACAACCUGCCUCAAGGCUGGGGAUAACAUUUGGAAACAGAUGCUAAUACCGAAUAAAACUCAGUGUCGCAUGACACAAAGUUAAAAGGCGCUUUGGCGUCACCUAGAGAUGGAUCCGCGGUGCAUUAGUUAGUUGGUGGGGUAAAGGCCUACCGAGACAAUGAUGCAUAGCCGAGUUGAGAGACUGAUCGGCCACAAUGGGACGGGGACACGGCCCAAACUCCUACGGGAGGCUGCAGUAGGGAAUCUUCCACAAUGGGCGAAAGCCUGAUGGAGCAACGCCGCGUGUGUGAUGAAGGCUUUCGGGUCGUAAAGCACUGUUGUAUGGGAAGAACAGCUAGAAUAGGGAAUGAUUUUAGUUUGACGGUACCAUACCAGAAAGGGACGGCUAAAUACGUGCCAGCAGCCGCCGUAA